UGAGGUAGUAGAUUGUAUAGUUUUAGGGUCAUACCCAGUCUCGGAGAUAACUAUACAAUCUACUGUCUUUC
RNAcentral lists this microRNA precursor (71 nucleotides) under Sphenodon punctatus (tuatara). RNAcentral's name for it is "Spt-Let-7-P2a3_pre stem-loop". It matches the Rfam family "let-7 microRNA precursor family", at positions 7 to 78 of the family's 84-position model. From Rfam's summary of the family: This family represents the microRNAs (miRNA) let-7 and mir-98. let-7 was identified from a study of developmental timing in C. elegans, and was later shown to be part of a much larger class of non-coding RNAs termed miRNAs. The extents of the hairpin precursors are not generally known and are estimated based on hairpin prediction. Lineage: Eukaryota; Metazoa; Chordata; Lepidosauria; Sphenodontia; Sphenodontidae. The record is from RNAcentral.